GACGAACGCUGGCGGCGUGCCUAACACAUGCAAGUCGAACGGAGAUAUUAAUGAAGCUUGCGAUUUAAUAUUUUAGUGGCGGACGGGUGAGUAACGCGUGGGUAAUCUACCUUUUAGUGGGGAAUAACAGUUGGAAACGACUGCUAAUACCGCAUACGCAACCUUCGGGUUGGAAAGAUGGCCUCUGAAAAUGCUGUCGCUAAAAGAUGAGCCCGCGUCUGAUUAGCUAGUUGGUAAGGUAAAGGCCUACCAAGGGGACGAUCAGUAGCCGGCCUGAGAGGGUGAACGGCCCCACUGGGACUGAGACACGGCCCAGACUCCUACGGGAGGCAGCAGUGGGGAAUAUUGCGCAAUGGGGGAAACCCUGACGCAGGGACGCCGCGUGAGCGAUGAAGGCCUUAGGGUUGUAAAGCUCUGUUUUAGGGGA
RNAcentral lists this ribosomal RNA (427 nucleotides) under uncultured bacterium. Its description in RNAcentral is "bacterial SSU rRNA". It matches the Rfam family "Bacterial small subunit ribosomal RNA", at positions 28 to 445 of the family's 1533-position model. The record is from RNAcentral.